AAGUUAGGCAAUUGAGAAAUGUGAGUUUUCCUUCUUAAUUUUUUUAAAUUGAAUUAUGGCUCGUAUAGUGAAGCAAAAGCAAUCACCGAACAGGGAAUACGUUGCAAUUUUUAGUAAGAUUUCUUGCUAAUCAUAAUAGUAGUUGGAUUUUGUCUUUAUGUUUAAGAUAGCAGUGGAUUAAGUUUGAUAUUUUGUUAAUCGGUUUCUAUUAGAGCUAGGGCGAAGUAGUGUUUGACAUUAAAUGGCUAUAAAUUUGCCACUGAAGGACCUCAAAUCUCAGGGAAUGCUAGUUUGAUUUUAUCUCAGGCAGUGUCCGGGGAAAAGGAAGGAUGUGAAUGUGAUUAAACUUUUGGCUGCUAAUUGUUUGUGUCAUAAUCUUACAGUAAUGUUGUCACGCGUUGCCAAUUUUCUUUUGCGUUUUUUCAUGAUUAAGAUUUUGAUGAUUUUAUGGUAGGAAGUUGGAGGAGAAUUGAACUGAUUAAAAAAAGGGCACUCUUAGAUAAGGAGUUUCUUUCUUUCUUUCUUUCUUU
Molecule: unclassified non-coding RNA, 530 nt
Filed under: Hevea brasiliensis (rubber tree)
Lineage: Eukaryota; Viridiplantae; Streptophyta; Magnoliopsida; Malpighiales; Euphorbiaceae
Source: RNAcentral